Molecule: transfer RNA, 70 nt
Filed under: Pelodiscus sinensis (Chinese soft-shelled turtle)
Lineage: Eukaryota; Metazoa; Chordata; Testudines; Trionychidae
Rfam family: tRNA
About the family: Transfer RNA (tRNA) molecules are approximately 80 nucleotides in length.
Source: Rfam by way of RNAcentral
GCUGUGAUGGCUGAGUAUACUUGAAAUCCAGUAGGGUUUCCCUAUGCAGGUUCAAAUCCUGCUCACAGCA